This 511-nucleotide ribosomal RNA is filed under the name uncultured bacterium. RNAcentral describes it as "bacterial SSU rRNA". It matches the Rfam family "Bacterial small subunit ribosomal RNA", at positions 8 to 518 of the family's 1533-position model. The record is from RNAcentral.
AGAGUUUGAUCCUGGCUCAGGAUGAACGCUGGCGGCGUGCUUAACACAUGCAAGUCGAACGGAGUUUUUAAACGGAAGUUUUCGGAUGGAAGUUUAAAAACUUAGUGGCGGACGGGUGAGUAACGCGUGGGUAACCUGCCUCAUACAGGGGGAUAACAGUUAGAAAUGACUGCUAACACCGCAUAAUAUAGCGAAACCGCAUGAUUUUUGCUAUCAAAUAUUUAUAGGUAUGAGAUGGGCCCGCGUCUGAUUAGCUAGUUGGUGGGGUAAAAGCCUACCAAGGCGACGAUCAGUAGCCGGCUUGAGAGAGUGACCGGCCACAUUGGGACUGAGACACGGCCCAAACUCCUACGGGAGGCAGCAGUGGGGAAUAUUGGACAAUGGGGGAAACCCUGAUCCAGCGACGCCGCCGUGAGUGAAGAAGUAUUUCGGUAUGCAAAGCUCUAUCAGCAGGGAAGAUAAUGACAGUACCUGACUAAGAAGCCCCGGCUAACUACGUGCCAGCAGCUGC